GGGGCCUCGGUUGGGGGGGGGGGCCCCCCCCCCGCGGGAGGUCAGCGGUUCGAUCCCGCUAGUCUCCACCA
This 71-nucleotide transfer RNA is filed under the name Staphylococcus pseudintermedius. Its description in RNAcentral is "tRNA-OTHER". The record is from RNAcentral. Lineage: Bacteria; Bacillati; Bacillota; Bacilli; Caryophanales; Staphylococcaceae.